This 253-nucleotide ribosomal RNA is filed under the name uncultured bacterium. Its description in RNAcentral is "partial 16S ribosomal RNA". It matches the Rfam family "Bacterial small subunit ribosomal RNA", at positions 524 to 776 of the family's 1533-position model. The record is from RNAcentral.
UACGUAGGGUGCGAGCGUUAAUCGGAAUUACUGGGCGUAAAGCGUGCGCAGGCGGUUAUGCAAGACAGAUGUGAAAUCCCCGGGCUUAACCUGGGAAUGGCAUUUGUGACUGCAUAGCUAGAGUGUGUCAGAGGGAGGUAGAAUUCCACGUGUAGCAGUGAAAUGCGUAGAUAUGUGGAGGAAUACCGAGUGCGUAGGCAGCCUUCUGGGAUAACACUGACGCUCAUGCACGAAAGCGUGGGGAGCAAACAGG